UCAGGCAGGCAAACGGCCAUUGCUGCCUCUGAGGAAGCUCCCUCUCCCUACUCAGAAGUUAUACAAAAAAAAAAAAGAAGAAAAAAGAACCCUUUACAAUGAGGCGACUCAGGGAAGCUCGACAUCAUCAGAUUAUUCUUUGCCAUCAUAACCUACAUUGGAUGCUGAUGCUAACUCCUCUGGUCCAAAAAAUAAAGGGCUCUCAGCCGGCGAUUUCAUUCUGUUUCUUCCUCAAAAUCUGAAAAUAAAUUUUUCUGACGUGCAUCACGAGAUUUCUAGAUGAUAGUCCUCGAAGAGAUUUCUUCAGGAUAUUUGCUCGUGCACAAGAGCAUAGCAUUCCUAUUUUAGGUAGGAAUGUUGACGGAAUUGUUGACGGAAUCGGGGCUAAGCACGACGUAGGACCAUGACAUCGAUUGCCGGGAAAUUCAUGUAAAAUGGAAGGUAAUCGCACUUGGAGAAAAAUUAUAAUGUGUGUGAGGUGGUGUGCACCUUGAAUCGCUGAGUAGAGAGAGGCCAAUUGGCCCCCCUUACUCGAAAAUGCCGCCUAUUUGGGUCUCAAACUAGACAAUCUUUCAGUGAUAUUGUGAAGACGGGAUUAGCCGUGAAGGUAGCACUUCGAGCGAUGGAGCCGUAACAAUUUCCUGAACCAAAAGCCCGCGCCCAUGUCAAUCGACGGAAUCGGCGGUGGAGAGAUAGAUAGAUAGAUAGAUAGAUAGAGAGAGAGAGAGAGAGAGAGAGAGAGAGAGAUUGCUGCUACCUUUGGUAGAUUGGAAGAUGANNNNNNNNNNNNNNNNNNNNAGAGAGAGAGAGAGAGAGAGAGAGAGAGAGAGAGAGAGAGAGAUUGCUGCAC
This 850-nucleotide long non-coding RNA is filed under the name Spirodela polyrhiza (greater duckweed). RNAcentral describes it as "long non-coding RNA (SPOL_LNC002084)". Lineage: Eukaryota; Viridiplantae; Streptophyta; Magnoliopsida; Alismatales; Araceae. The record is from RNAcentral.